Molecule: long non-coding RNA, 166 nt
Organism: Exaiptasia diaphana
Lineage: Eukaryota; Metazoa; Cnidaria; Anthozoa; Actiniaria; Aiptasiidae
Exons: 2
Source: RefSeq, a predicted model, not a curated record
GUCUAUCACAGAAAUUGCUUCGUCUGUUUUGAAUGCGGUAUUCGACUCGAGUCAACGACUGUAAAUGAUCACGAACACGGCAUCUACUGCAGCGCCUGUUAUGCGAAAAGAUAUGGAGCAAAAGGCUACGGUUAUGGAGUUGGCGCUGGAGCACUAAAAUUUACCG